Molecule: unclassified non-coding RNA, 150 nt
Filed under: soil metagenome
Description: partial internal transcribed spacer 1
Source: RNAcentral
CCGAGUUAUACAACUCAUCAACCCUAUGAACAUACCUAUAACGUUGCCUCGGCGGGAACAGACGGCCCCGUAACACGGGCCGCCCCCGCCAGAGGACCCCCUAACUCUGUUUCUAUAAUGUUUCUUCUGAGUAAACAAGCAAAUAAAUUA